CCUACGGGUGGCAGCAGUGGGGAAUCUUGGGCAAUGGAGGAAACUCUGACCCAGCAACGCCGCGUGAAUGAUGCAGGUUUUCGGAUUGUAAACUUCUGUCGCAAGGGAUGAAGGAUGACGGUACCUCGUAAUAAAUCCCCGGGAAACUACUUGCCAGCAGCCGCGGGAAUACGAAGGGGGCGAGCGUUGUCCGGAAUGACUGGGCGGAAAGGUGUUGUAGGCGGCAUAUAAAGUUAGGUGUGAAAGCCCGGGGCUUAAACGCGGAAUUGCACAUAAAACUGGUAAGCUGGAGUGCAGGAGAGGUGAGUGGAAUUCCAGGUGUAGCGGUGGAAUGCGUAGAUAUAGGGAGGAACACCAGAGGCGAAGGCGACUUACUGGACUGUAACUGACGCUGAGGCUCGAAAGCGUGGGGAGCAAACAGGAUUAGAUACCCUUGUAGUC
RNAcentral lists this ribosomal RNA (441 nucleotides) under uncultured bacterium. RNAcentral describes it as "partial 16S ribosomal RNA". It matches the Rfam family "Bacterial small subunit ribosomal RNA", at positions 338 to 795 of the family's 1533-position model. The record is from RNAcentral.